AUGCCUUGAUUGCUACAGAUACAGGCCAUGACCAGAAAAUUGUCUCUCCUCCCCAGUCCGUGAAAAAUAAUGGCUCAACUGACCCUAAAUCAGUAAAUCAAAAUUCUCAUGUUCCCUUGAAAGAAAAGGAGAGUAAGAAAAUGGUACCUGGGGUCCGGGGGAAACCUCAGGCAUGGCGGUUAGGUGAUGUUUCCCGCCCGCAAAGUCUUCCGAACCUUGUGAAGCAAAACUACCAGAAGAUGAGGUCUAGUAGGAGAGCAACCGCCACAUGGGCGAGGCAAAAUGUGGAACCUCAACCAUCUUCAUGCCCAAUAUGCUAUGAGGAUCUUGAUCCAACAGACUCGAGUUUUCUUCCGUGUCCUUGUGGGUUCCACCUUUGCCUUUUUUGUCACAAAAAAAUUAUGGAGGGUGAUGCAAGAUGCCCAGGAUGCAGGAAGCAGUAUGAACACGUCGAAGGGGAUUUAGGAUUCAGAGCAGAGGUGGAUUUAAACAAAGCCAGCUAUGGCAAUCUUCGUACAUGGAUAUUUUGAUUCUUUUUACUGGUAAAUGAACUCAUAAAUUGUAAAAGAAUUUACGUAGAUCUCUCUUCUCAUAAAAUGACAAUCACUUCGUGAUACACUCAAAUAUUACACCUGUUUAAAUACAUACAAAUCUUGUAACAAAUGGUAAACCAUCUUAUUCUGCAAGUCUCCUUCAAUAAACCAGAUCCGACGAAACUCAGUUUUCGAAUUCAGAACUAUUGUGCAUUGUAGCACAAUUAUUCACAAUCGACAGUCACUCUCUACGCAUCUAAUCACUAAUAUCGUCUCCUGCUCUAAAUUCAUGAUAGUAAAUAGAUAUUGUGUUUCUGCUCUAAAUUUAUGAGAGUAAUGUAUUGGAAUUUCAAAAUUCAUGACAGUAGAAGUACUAUCUUUAAACUAUCUCUGUGUUCAAAACAUAUUCAUAUUGGGGCCGUAGCAACUAGCAAGAGAUGGGUUAGAAGUUAUACUCUACCAUCUAUAAAUUAUUAAAAUAUUUAGACAAUAUAACUUAUAAGUGAUUAAAGUAGUCGGAUAAUAUGACUCAUAAAUUAUUCAAGUAUUUGGAUAAUAUUAAAUACUUUCUUUUUGGUAUAAACGAUAAUAAUAUAAAAAGUGUUAUUAAUACAUGAAAAUUAUUAAUAGAAGCCAUGGAAGAAAGAAAAAAGUCGAUAAAGUCCCCUGAUGAAGCUUUGGAAAAGAAAAAGUUAAAACUAGUAUAAAUUUGAGAAUUUAAAAUUAAAAUUAAAAUUCUCAUAAAUUUAUCAUUUAAAAUUAGAUGUACAUUUUCAAAUGACUUUCAGAAAUAUCAAAAUUCAAAAGACUCUUGGUAGCUGGAAAACAGAGUAUCAUGAUUCAUGAGUGUGUACUGAAGUUUAUAUGAUUUUGAAUCCAAUACUACUGUAAACUACUGUUCGUUUGUUUGGACCUCAUUUCAUUUUAUACAAUUAUAAUGGGAUCGUUUGGCUGAAUUUAAAAUAAGUGACUUAUUAUUUAAAAUAAAGAAGUUGAUUAGAGUGAGAAUUUGGUGUGAACCUAUAAGCUACUAGAAUUGUUUAGAUCCCAUGAUUUAUAAGUUUUUUAAGUGUUUGGAUAAUUUAACUUAUAAGUUGGUAUUAGUUUAAUAAUNACCCCUGCUUUGAUUUGCCUGGAAAUUUACAAGUGCAUUUGGAUUGUGAUGCAGUUAAAAAUAAAGAAUUGAAAGCAGAUUCAAAUGGGCGGGGCAUAUCUCCUACAUUGUUCUCCCUGGUCAGUGCUGAGGGGAACAAAUUAUCUGAGAAUUCAGAGUUGGGGACAAAGGAGGUGGAUAUUGAGGUGUCAAGCAUUCAUGAAAUCGAUUUGGACUCCCUGAUGAGCAGUCCAGUUGGCAGCAGUAAUCUUCCUGAUAGUAGCUGUAGCUGUGCCAGUAGCAGGUGUUGUUCUGUCAGCGUAAGCGAAAACGAAGAGGAGGAUAGUUGUUUGGAUGAUUGGGAGACUAUCGCCGAUGCCUUGAUUGCUACAGAUACAGGCCAUGACCAGAAAAUUGUCUCUCCUCCCCAGUCCGUGAAAAAUAAUGGCUCAACUGACCCUAAAUCAGUAAAUCAAAAUUCUCAUGUUCCCUUGAAAGAAAAGGAGAGUAAGAAAAUGGUACCUGGGGUCCGGGGGAAACCUCAGGCAUGGCGGUUAGGUGAUGUUUCCCGCCCGCAAAGUCUUCCGAACCUUGUGAAGCAAAACUACCAGAAGAUGAGGUCUAGUAGGAGAGCAACCGCCACAUGGGCGAGGCAAAAUGUGGAACCUCAACCAUCUUCAUGCCCAAUAUGCUAUGAGGAUCUUGAUCCAACAGACUCGAGUUUUCUUCCGUGUCCUUGUGGGUUCCACCUUUGCCUUUUUUGUCACAAAAAAAUUAUGGAGGGUGAUGCAAGAUGCCCAGGAUGCAGGAAGCAGUAUGAACACGUCGAAGGGGAUUUAGGAUUCAGAGCAGAGGUGGAUUUAAACAAAGCCAGCUAUGGCAAUCUUCGUACAUGGAUAUUUUGAUUCUUUUUACUGGUAAAUGAACUCAUAAAUUGUAAAAGAAUUUACGUAGAUCUCUCUUCUCAUAAAAUGACAAUCACUUCGUGAUACACUCAAAUAUUACACCUGUUUAAAUACAUACAAAUCUUGUAACAAAUGGUAAACCAUCUUAUUCUGCAAGUCUCCUUCAAUAAACCAGAUCCGACGAAACUCAGUUUUCGAAUUCAGAACUAUUGUGCAUUGUAGCACAAUUAUUCACAAUCGACAGUCACUCUCUACGCAUCUAAUCACUAAUAUCGUCUCCUGCUCUAAAUUCAUGAUAGUAAAU
This 2835-nucleotide long non-coding RNA is filed under the name Daucus carota (carrot). Its description in RNAcentral is "long non-coding RNA (DCAR_LNC002292)". The record is from RNAcentral. Lineage: Eukaryota; Viridiplantae; Streptophyta; Magnoliopsida; Apiales; Apiaceae.